RNAcentral lists this ribosomal RNA (495 nucleotides) under uncultured bacterium. Its description in RNAcentral is "bacterial SSU rRNA". It matches the Rfam family "Bacterial small subunit ribosomal RNA", at positions 25 to 518 of the family's 1533-position model. The record is from RNAcentral.
CAGGACGAACGCUGGCGGCGUGCUUAACACAUGCAAGUCGAACGAGAAUCACUGGAAGGAGUUUCGGACAACGGAAGGUGAGGAAAGUGGCGGACGGGUGAGUAACGCGUGAGGAACCUGCCUUGGAGAGGGGGACAACAGCUGGAAACGGCUGCUAAUACCGCAUGACGCACGGAGGGGACAUCCCCAUCGUGCCAAAGAUUUAUCGCUCUGAGAUGGCCUCGCGUCUGAUUAGGUAGUUGGUGAGGUAACGGCCCACCAAGCCGACGAUCAGUAGCCGGACUGAGAGGUUGAACGGCCACAUUGGGACUGAGAUACGGCCCAGACUCCUACGGGAGGCAGCAGUGGGGAAUAUUGGGCAAUGGGGCCGCAAGCCUGACCCAGCAACGCCGCGUGAAGGAAGAAGGCUUUCGGGUUGUAAACUUCUUUUAAGGGGGAAGAGCAGAAGACGGUACCCCUAGAAUAAGCCACGGCUAACUACGUGCCAGCAGCCGC